This is a long non-coding RNA of Mus musculus (house mouse), 1018 nucleotides long. RefSeq annotates it as predicted gene, 29915. The record is from RefSeq and is a predicted model, not a curated record. Lineage: Eukaryota; Metazoa; Chordata; Mammalia; Rodentia; Muridae. The transcript is spliced from 3 exons.
UCAAUCACCACGGUUUUUUUUUAAAGAUCUACUACUGCAUCUGAAAGUCAAGAUUGGUGACACCUAAGUGAGCUCCUGUGGAAUGAAAUCUGAAGACAUCCUCCUUCUUGAUCUCCAUGACAACAAGAGCUCCAGACAUUGUAUUUUCCCUUCCACGGUUCCUGCUUCAUUUUAACAAAUGACCAGCAGGUGGCAGGCGACCCACACGUCGCGCAAAGGAAGACACGUCAAUUAAUUACCAGGUCCUCGAAUUCGGGAUGAGAAACCAGUCUAGUUACAUCUUCACGGGAAGCAGCGACUGUGACCUGCUGUCCUCCUUUCAAACUUGCCACAGUUCUGUUAGAGCAAUGAUUAUAGCAGCUUAAAUCGACUUUCCGAUUAAAUAGGAUUUUCUCACACUUGACAGGACUGAAGUGUGCAUCUUGCUGCAUGUGUCAGUGUGAGUGUUAUAUUUAUCACACAUCUCUUGUGGGUUCUGUGUGCUUGGCAGUGUCGGGAUUUUAUAAAGAGUAAGCCCUUAAAUCUUGUCUUUGUUGCUGUUUGAGGUUUCAUGAACAUGAAAUAUCCAUGUUAAAAUUACCCCCUAGGAAGGAUUGCAGGGACGGGCGUGAAGGAGGUCCCAAAGGGAUAGAAACUCCACAGGAAGACCAACAGAGUCAACUAACCUGGGCCCUUGGGGCUCUUAGAAACUGAACCACCAACCAAAGACCAUACACAGGCUGGACCUAGGCUUCCAUGAACGUAUGUAGCAGACAUACAGCUUGAUCUUUGUGUGGGUCCCAAACAACUGGAGCAAGGGCUCCUCCAAAGCUGUUGCCUGUCCGUGGGAUGUGUUCUUCUAGCUGGGCUGUCUUGUUUGGCCUCAGUGGGAGAGGAUGCGUGGAAAUCUGCAGAGACUUAAUAUAUCAGGGUGUGGGGAAACCCAAAGGGGAUCCACCCACCCAGAGGAGAAGGAGAGAGGGGAUGGGAAGGGUGACUGAGAGAGGAGCAGUGUGCAGAAUGUAAAGUGAAUAAAUGA